This 314-nucleotide ribosomal RNA is filed under the name uncultured eukaryote. Its description in RNAcentral is "partial 18S ribosomal RNA". It matches the Rfam family "Eukaryotic small subunit ribosomal RNA", at positions 1470 to 1796 of the family's 1831-position model. The record is from RNAcentral.
CCCCUAGAUGUUCUGGGCCGCACGCGCGCUACACUGAACAGUUCAACAAGUCUUAACCUUGGCCGAUAGGUCUGGGUAAUCUUUGAACGCUGUUCGUGACUGGGAUAGACCUUUGCAAUUAUGGGUCUUCAACGAGGAAUUCCUAGUAAACGCAAGUCAUCAGCUUGCAUUGAUUACGUCCCUGCCCUUUGUACACACCGCCCGUCGCACCUACCGAUUGAAUGGUCCGGUGAAGCCUCCGGAUUGGCGCGCACCUCGGUGCCGCCGAGAAGUUGGCUAAACCUUACCAUUUAGAGGAAGGUGAAGUCGUAACA